Molecule: ribosomal RNA, 322 nt
Filed under: uncultured bacterium
Lineage: Bacteria
Description: bacterial SSU rRNA
Rfam family: Bacterial small subunit ribosomal RNA
Source: RNAcentral
AGUGAACGCUGGCGGCGUGCCUAACACAUGCAAGUUGAACGCGAAAGUUUUCUUCGGAAGAUGAGUAGAGUAGCAGACGGGUGAGUAAUGCAUAGGUAAUCUACCCUUGAGUGGGGGACAACACACCGAAAGGUGUGCUAAUCCCGCAUAACGUUUCUGGUCUUAAGACUGGGAACCAAAGGGGGGGACUCUUCGGAGCCUCUCGCUUAGGGAUGAGCUUAUGUCCUAUUAGCUUGUUGGUGGGGUAAUGGCCUACCAAGGCACUGAUGGGUAGCCGAGCUGAGAGGCUGAUCGGCCACACUGGAACUGAGACACGGUCCAG